This is a long non-coding RNA of Acinonyx jubatus (cheetah), 17278 nucleotides long. RefSeq lists it as uncharacterized. Lineage: Eukaryota; Metazoa; Chordata; Mammalia; Carnivora; Felidae. The record is from RefSeq and is a predicted model, not a curated record. The transcript has 4 exons.
CCUGCUUGCCAGGUAAGCCUUUGAAAAACUCACAAGCGGGAGUGAGAGGAAACUGUUGUAUCAAGGAAGAUUGUAUUAGCAACAGGAAAAUGUGGCGCGUAUCUAUUAAAUUGACUGAUGCAAUUCAUAUCCCAGAGUAAGAUGUUUCAACAUUUAAAAUGUUUUAGCAUCAAGGGAUGGUAAGGAUAAGACAGACUGUGUUACGUUCAUAACUUGCAUUAUCUCAUUUUCAUUCUCCCAAAAACCCAUAAAGAGACCUUACUGUCUUCAUCUUACAAAUGAAGACAAUGAGGCUUGGAAAGGAAGCCAUCUUGGUACUAAUACUCAACCGAGCUUAGAUUCGAACUCAAAUCUGUCUGGCCCCAGAGUCUUUUCUUCAUUCCUCUUGGGUCCUCUCAAGAGCUGUUUUAACAAUAUCGACAUCAAGUUUUCAGAGAGGUUGAAAAAUAAAGAUUGAAUAUAUAUAUAUAUAUAUAUAUAUAUAUAUAUUUAUAUAUUUAUUUUGAGAGAGCAUGAGUUGGGGAGGGGAAGAAUGAGAAGGAGAGAGAGAAUCCUAAGCAGGCUCUGCAUUGCCAGUGACAAGCCCAAUGUGGGGCUCAAACCCACGAACCAUGAGAUUAUGACCUGAGCUGAAACCAAGAGUCAGAUGCUUAACCCACUGAGCUACCCAGGCUCCCCAAAGAUUGAAUAUUUUUGUACACUGACAAUGAGCCACCUACAAGGCAGGGCAGUAAGGGAGGUUGCAAUGGACUGUUCUCUACUCAAGGAGCUACGUAGCUGGUGUAGGAAGCUGGUACCCAAUAUAGGCUGAACAUUAGAUGAUGAAAUAAGGGCUGCUGUGAAGGGGACAGUCAGAACUGAGGGAAGGAGUGAUUGGCUUGGUUGUGCAAGGAGAGCAGGGAAAGUUCACAGAACACCGGAAGGUGUCAUUUUGAAAAGACUCUGAGGAGGUGGGGGGAAGGCACAGCAGGUUUGGGGACACUGCAGAGUGAGGGAACAUGUUACAGGAGCUGGGUGGAAAGUUCAGGAAAGUUCAGGGAAAGUUCAGGGAAAGUCAGUGCAUGGUUGGAAUAGUGGAAGGUGAAGGUGGGUUGGAGCCAGGCCAUGGAAGGCUCUGAAUAGGAGCCUGAAACUGAAAUGGGGAAUUAUUGAAGGUUUUUGAGUAGGGGGAAGGCAAGGUUCCAAUCAAAUCCUUGACAAAAUCAUCCAAAAGUAUUGCUGAAUUCAUCCUGACACCAGAUCACAAGUACACAAAGUACACAAAAUUGAAUAUAGAAAAUCAAUAUUCUUAACCAAGACUCAAAACAAUGGCCUGCUUACUUCUGAAGAAACACACCAAAUGAAGUGGAUAUAUGCCUGAAUCAUUAGCUCAGACCCGAGCCGCCCUCUUUCUUCCACACGGGCCAAGAACAAUCCCAUUCUCAUGAUUCCUAAGACAACCUCAUCAACUCGAAAACCUGGGGCAACACAUACAAUCCCCUCCUCCCUCCCCCCCCCCAAAAAAAAUUCCAGCAAGGAAAUGACAAUUCCUUUCACUUCCUUUCUUUCUUCAGCGGCCAGCCAAUGAAGAUUGCUUCACCGUUCUCUCUCUGAUACACCAGACACACAUCCUAGAGUAGGAAUUGGAUCCUGAUGGCUUAAUUGAGUUAAAAAGAAAAGUGCAGAUUAUCUAAAAGCCUCUCAAAGGUUUCAGAGUGGCUCUCACAUCUCAGAAAGCCCAGUGGUGGCUCUCAGUUCUUUGGUUAGGGCGGAGCUGAAUGAAUUUCGUAGCACAGAAUUCAAAAGCACUGGAAGUCAGCAGUUCUGAAGGACUGCAGAAAGGGCUUGUUUACACUUUUCUCUCGGGCUGAAACCCAUCUAUUUAAACUUUAACCAGAGACAAUUAUAAAACCAUGGUUAGCCAGGGAUCGCAGGCUGCACAAGACGGGAGACAGAUGCCAACAGUCUGGCAUUGGAGGAGGGAAGGUUGAGAAUAUUUUGAGGGAAGGGAUCAAAGAAGAAGUACAAAGGUUUUGGAAACAGGUGUCACCUAGCUUGAGGAGACAGAAGAAAGAUACCCUGAAGACUUUCUCCUCCGGGCUUCUUUUCCAGCAUUACCCAUGGCACUUCUGUUCUACGCUUGAAGCCUCGCAACAUGCAUGCCCAGGGCCGAGGUAAAGUCAGCACCAACAACAGGGAGCGCUGUCCGGUGCCCAGGCCAGAAACGGGAAAUUCCUUGAUGCAAAUCCCUCAGGCCCUCGGGCAGGCUCCGUGUUUGUGCUGUAACUAAAUACCACACUCACCUGUCCUUCAUGGGUACCAGGCACAAAGCCAGGGUUAUAGAACGCAGGGAAAAGCCCUCAUUGGGAAAGGUAGGAAAAGCAGAGAAAGAAGCAGGUGGCAGGAAGAAGGAUCAUGGCAAAUGGGAAACCAAAUACAUGAGGAAAAAAGAAAAGCUGCAAAAAGUUCAAGGAAACUUUUUUUUUUUUUUUUGGGUCUCUCUAUUUUUGACCAAGUGAAAAAAAAAACAAACACAAAAGAAUAAACUAAGCAACUGGAAUCAGAUGGAGCCAGUGAAGGGGGGGGGAACAAGCAGCAGAACUCUACAAAUAUAUGCUAAUUACCUCAUCCUUCCUCCCGUGCCCUGCAAGCGAGGCUCCAGUGCCGGUUUGUACAUUGGCCUAAUAAUGAUUUCAUUUCACAGACAUCUUUCCACGUUUUUUUUUUUUUUUUUCUUAACAAAGUCCAUCACAAUUCUGUUUUGGGAAGUAGAAACAGUAUCUAUCUUUAGGAAAUUUAAAUGCCAAAGAGCUCAGAUAAGCAUAAUUGAGAAGUAAAGAAUGGUUGGUGUGACCAGGACAAAUAUCAAAUCACAAAUAUUUGAAAUUCUUCCCCUUCGGGGCCCUAAGGAGAGAAGUGCCUUUGUUUGCUGAAUUGGCUCACAGAGGACCUGGCCUUUGCCGUGUUGCGUAGGAUGUUGGAUGGGGAGGAGAAGCCAGAGGAAGGUCAAAUAUUUAAGAGCCUACUAUGCAUCAGGCGUUCUGUUAGAUGCUAGAAAUUUAAGAGCAUACAAAACAGGCCCCUACCCUCAUGAAGCUAAUACUUUUUUAGACUUUAAACAAAAAUGUAGUAAAUUGCACGUAACAUAAAAUUUACCACCUUAACAAUUUUUUAAGUGUGUAUUUAUUUUUGAGAGAGAGAGCACGAGCAGAGCAGAGGAGGUACGGGAGGUGGGGGAGUGGGGGAGACAGAGGAUCCAAAGCAGGGUCCUCGCUAACAGCGGAGAGUCUGAUGCAGGACUGAAACUCACAGACCAUGAGAUCAUGACCUGAGCGGAAGUUGGACACUCAACCGACUGAGCUACCCAGGUGCCCCAACUACCUUAACCAUUGUUAAGUGCAAAGUUCAAUAGUGUUAAUCAUAUUUACACUGUUGUGCAUCCAAUCUCUAGAAUGUUUCCAUCUUGAAAAACUGAACUCAAUGCUCAUUAAAGAACUCCCUCCCUGCAAUCCCCCCCCUGCCAACUACCCCUCACCCUAAGGUCUGAGUCACCACCAUUUUACUUUCUGUUUUUAUUAAUUUGACUAUUCUAGGUACAUCUUGUAAGUGGAAUCAUAUAGUAUUUCUGUUUUUGUAACUGGUUUAUUUCACUCAGUAUAUCCUCAAAGUUCCAUGUUAUAGCAUGUAUCAGAAUUUUGUUGCUUUUUAAACCCUAAUAAUCCACUGUAUGCACAUGACACAUUUUGUUUAUUCACUCAUCUGUUGAUGGACGUUUGGGUUGCUUCUACUUCUGGGCUACUAUGGAUAAUGCCACUGUGAACACAGGUGUACAAAUAUCUCUUUGAACUAAUGCUCUUUAAAAAAAAAUUUUUUUAAUCUUUAUUCAUUUUUGGGAGAGAGACAGACAGAGCAUGAGCAGGGGAGGGGCAGAGAGAGAGGGAGACACAAACCGAAGCAGGCUCCAGGCUCUGAGGUGUCAGCACUGAGCCCAAUGUGGGGCUCGAACCACGAACCGUGAGAUCAUGACCUGAGCCGAAGUGGGACGCUUGGCUGACUGAGCCACCCAGGUGCCCCUGAACUAACACUCUUUUAGGGAGCUUAUCCCAUCAUAUUUGGAUUAUUUAUUUGCCCAUCACUUGGCCUAACUAUAUGGUUAGCUGUGAGGACUGUGUCAUUUAUCUUUGUAUUCCAACUCCCUAUACGAUGCUGGCACGUAGUAGGAACGCAGUAAAUACUUGUUGGCAAAAUAAUUUAUUUUUAUACUUCUUAAUCACUACUGCUGCAGCUGGCUGUUUUACAUAUUUUAAUAAAUAAGUUUUGCAAUUUUAAUGAAUGCUAUUUUGAUUAUAUUUACAUACUAAGCUAGUUUAUACAAGGAGGUUAGUAUAAAAAUCUAAAUCUCAAUCAAAAUUCACUUUCUAGAUGAAAUGCCAUUGACAAUUCCUUUUCAUUCACUUUGCUUAAAAUCAGCUAUUGUUGCUCUUAUUCUUGUCCUUCCUUUCCUCCCUUUUUAAGUCAGCAUUGCCUAGAUAUUAAGGAGUCUCCUCAAAUCAUGAGACAUCCUGUGGAAUAAAGCUAGGCAUGGGCCUAGGGUUGAGUUUGCUCAGCUCAAACAUUUUCAUUGAGCGUCAUUUUGUCUGAGGUACAAGAUGAACAAGGCACAGCCCUCCCUUUGGAGAAACUCACAGUCUUGCAAUUCUGUCUGGUUCUUCUUGGCCACAAUUAAGCAAGAAACCUCAGUUUUCUCAGGUGUAGAAAAUAGUAUUUAAUCCCCAUUUCCCAUACUCAGUUGAGGAACACAGACACUAUAGCAUUCACAAACCAUGAGGGGGUGAAGGACACUGAAAAUUCUGGGUAGUAUUAUAUUUGAUAAUAAUUGCUACGUGUGGUAUCAGCAGGGGUAGAAGCUAGUUCUGUAAUUCUUUACAAAAUAGACGUUUGGAAUCAUGAUUUCUGGUCAAGGAAGCAUUAUUGUACAUUAACCUUGGAGGGACUUUCUCAGCUCUAAACACAAAGAAUGGUCUUUAAAAUAUAAAAGAGAAGGGCGCCUGGGUGGCUCAGUCGGUUGAGUGUCUGACUUCAGCUCAGGUCAUGAUCUCAGGGUCCAUGAGUUCAAGCCCUGCUUUGGGCUCUGUGCUGCCAGCUCAGAGCCUGGAGCCUGCUUCGGAUUCUGUGCCUCCCUCUCUCUCUGUCCCUCCCCUGUUCAUGCUCUGUCUCUCUCUCCCUCAAAAAUAAAUAAACAUUAAAAAAAAAUAUUGAAAAAUAAAUAAGUAAACCCAUAAAGUAAAAUAUAAAAGAGAAAGAUUAAAAGUAACAGUUGGCCCAAAAGGUAAAAUCUUCUAGGAACUAGGCAUGCAGAGCAGUAAAUGAGACUGAAGACAUGGGCCUGUUGGGCUCCAGGUCUGAGGCAGAGGAGGCUGGAAUGGGAUCUCUACAGGGUUAGGGAGACUAAAAGUGAGGAAAGUGUGUGGGAGCCAGAACCGCAACCAGCCAGAACCAGGUUUUCUGUUGGAAACUACCAAUGGUAGUUUCUUUCUUUCUUUCUUUUAAAAAAUUUUUAAUGUUUAUUUAGUUUUGAGAGAGAGAGAGAAAGAGAGACACAGAGUGUUGGCUGGGAAGGGACAGAGAGAGAGAGACACAGAACCCGAAGCAGGCUCCAGGCUCCGAGCGGUCAGCACAGAGCCCAGCACAGGGCCCGAACUCACAAGAUGCGAGAUCAUGACCUGAGCCAAAGUCGGAUGCCCAAUGGACUGAACCACCCAGCCGCCCCAUCUAAUGGUAGUUUCAAAACAGGGGCUAGGGGCAUCUGGGUGGCUCAGUCAGUUGAGUAACCUGCUUUUGAUUUCUGCUCAGGUCAUGAUCUCAGGAUUCAUGGGAUCAAGCCCUGUGUCAGACUCUGUGCUGACAGUGCAAAGCCUGCUCAGGAUUCUCUCUCUCUUCCUCUCUCUCUGCCCCUCCCCUGCUCAUGUGAACUCAUGCACUUGCAUUCUUUCUCUCUCUCAAAAAUAAAUAAAUAAAUAAACUUUAAAACAAUAGCAACAACCAAAAAAGAAAAAACCACCCCCAAACAGGGGCUAGACUGAGAACCGCCCCCCUCCCCAACACAAAGUCCCUUAUUAAAGAGGCUAAAAAAAAAACCUCGCCACUGCCUGAAGAUGGGCCUUAUGUGAGGGAAUGGUCUGGCAGGAAGACAAGGAAGGGCAUAGAGCCCUCAUGACUGGCAUCUCUAUUACCACAGUAUGGGAAAAGAAAAGACAAGCUCUCUUUAACUGGGUAAUAUGAUUGUCUAUAAGGAUAACCAAACAGACCAUACUGAAAAAAUAUUAGAACUACAAAGACAACUCAGCAAAGCUGCAGGGUAUAAGAUGAAGAAAUAAAAUUCAAUUGCAAUCCUAUAUCUCAGUAUUUAUCACCUACGAUAUUUAAGAAGCCAGUUUUAAUAGUUUUAAUAGCAAUAAGCGAGGAAGUACCUAGGAAUAAAUGUAAUACAGACGUGGAUUUUUAUCUAUAAAUACAAUGUUGACAUUAUGUAUAAAAAUUAAAAAAAAAUUUUUUUAAUGUUUAUUUAUUUUUGAGAGAGAGGGACAGAGCACAAGCAGGGGAGGGGCAGAGAGAGAGGGUGACACAGAAUCUGAAGCAGGCUGCAGGCUCUGAGCGGUCAGCGUAGAGCUCGACGUGGGCUUAAACUCAAAAACUGUGAGGUCAUGACCUGAGUCAAAGUACGACAUUUAACUGACUGAGCCACCCAGGCACCCUAUGUAUAGUGAUUUUUUAUGGAACAAAUUAACUGAGAUUUAAUACAUGGAGACAUAGAGCAUACUCAUGAAUUGGAAUAUUCAUUAAAAUGAAGAAGACAUUUCUUCUAAAGUUAAUGUUUGAUUUCAGUGCAAACCCAAUUUUUAAAAUCCCAACCUGAUUAGGUAACACGCAACAAUGGUCACUGAGUUCAUGUAAAACAGUAAAGGUCAAAACUAAUUAUAGUAGGUGGAAAUGUCUUUGGCAACAAGUGAGGGAAUAUACAACUUAAAGUGGCUUAAACAAUAACAGGUUUAUUAUUUCACGUCACAGGAUGUCCAGUGGUAGGCGGUUUCAGUAUUGGCUAAUUCAGCAGCACAAUGACACCUCCGAGACCUAAGGACUUUUCAUCUCCCUGCCUAGCCAUUCUCAGUGUGCUAGGCUCUAGCUUGUCCUCUCAGGGUGGCAAGAUGGCUGCCACUGUUUCAGCCAUCACUUUCUCCUCCAACUCUGUACAAAGAUAGGAAGGGCAAGUCGUCUUCUUUUGUACGUUUUUAAGUGAGAAGAAAACUUACCUAUCCUAUCUCUACUCUAACACAAUUCCACACAGGUUUCUUUCUUUUUUAAGUUUAUUUAUUUAUUUUGAGAGAGAAUGUUUGAGUGGGGGAAGGGCAGAGAAAGAGAGAGAGAGAGAGAGAGAGAGAAUCCCAAGCAGGCUCUGCACUGUCAGUGUGGAGCCCAAGCAGGGACUCGAACCCACGAACUGUGAGAUCAUGACAUGAGCCAAAAAUCAAGAGUUGGACAUUUAACUGAUUGAGCCACCCAGUUGCUGCCCCCAAAUAACUAAAAUUUAAAACCAGAGGCAGCAUAACAAACCUGGAUUAAAAAACGAGUUAGUUAAUAAAUAUGUGUUGGAAUCUUUAUACAUAUUUUUUCUAUUUCACAUUACAAGAUUUUAAGUUGGUUUAAAGACCUAAAUUUGAAUAGUCAAAUUUUAUACCUCUAGGAAAAAUAUAAGAGAUUAUAUUUAUACCCUUGUGAUAGGAAGAACUUAUUAAAUAAAGCACAAAAGAAUAAAAUCAUCAAGGAAAAGGUGAAUAAUUUUGCUACCUCAAAAUAAAAAUAUAUCAUCAACAAAGAGAGAAGAUAUUUUUUCAGACAUACAACAACCGAGAUAUUCAUGUUCAAAAAUUAUAAAGAACUGCAAAGCAAUAAGAAAAAGAAACAACUAGAAAGAAAAAUUGACAAAGAAUAUAAAUAAGCAAUUCACAGAAAAGAAAUCCUAAUGGCCAAUAGAUAUACAAGAUGUUCAGUCUCACUAGAAAUGAAGGGAAAACAAUAUUAAAUAAUAAAAAGUUACCAUUUCAUAACUAUAAAUAGGCAAACAUUUUAACAUUUGAAAAUACCAAAAAUUAGUAAGAUGUGGAGAAACAGGACACUUAGAAAGCAAAGUGGUGAUAUGUAUUUAUAUAAAUCCUAAGACCCAGCAGUUUCUCUGUUCUCUAGAUUAGUGGUUCUCAACCAGGGUGAUUUUGCCUCCUGGGAAAUAUUUGGCAAUAUUUGCAGACAUUUUCGGUUGUCACACCUGCGUGGGGGUGGGGUGCUACUGGUACCUUUGGGGUAGAGGUGAGCAGUGCUGCUAAAUAUCCUACUCCACAGCAAAGAGUUAUUCAGUCCAAAAUGUCAAUAACACCAAGGUUGAGAACCUGUGGCCUAGAAAAACUGUCACAUGGUGUGCACCAGGCGAUAGGUAUUUAAAUGUUAAUUGCAGUAUUGUUUAUUAUAGCAAAUAACAACACACUGAAAACAAUUCACACAUCCAUAAUGCAGGAAGUGGAUAAGUAAUUUGUGUAUUUCAAACAAGGGAAUAAUAUACAACAGGUAUAUUUAAUGAAUUAGUUCUUCAGGUUACAAUGUGAAUCAAUCUAAAAAGAAACGAUGACUAGGGACACCUGGGUAGCUCGGUCAGUUGGGUAUCCAACUCCAGCUCAGGUCAUGAUCUCACGGUUUAGGAGUUUGAGCCCCGCGUCGGGCUCUAUGCUAACAGCUCAGAACCUGGAGCUUGCUUCAGAUUCUGUAUCUCCCUCUGCCCCUCCCCAGCUCUUGCUCUGUCUCUCUCUCUUAAAAAUAAAUAAACAUUAAAAAAAAUUUUUUUUAAGUAACAAUGAUUAAAAAUGCAUUGCAGAAUAUUAUGUACAGGGUGAUAUAGUAUUCCUUUACAAUUUACAAAUACAAAGCAUACUAUAUAUUGUUUAUGAAUAUAUACAUAUAAUAUAAAAGUAUAAAAAACAUGCAUGGGAAUGAUUUAUAGGAACUUCCAGGUAGUGAUUACUUUUCAGAAAAGAGGAAAGGAGGGAAAAUAGAGAAAUGAAUGAGAUCGGGAGUGGAUAAUGGGUUUAAACUACUUGUAAGACUUUUUAUAGCAAACAAACAAACAAAACCCCUAAAGCAAAUAAGCAGACAUUAAGAUCUGUUGAGUGUUUUAUGCACAGAUGUUUGGUAAACUAUUUUCUAUAUUUUUCUGUCUGUUUGAAAUAUUUUAUGAUGAAAGUAUUUUAAAGUAUUUUAAGAGCUGCCUCUGCAAGAAAUGACUAUUCUGUUUGUGUUUCAGGAGCAUAGAGUUGGUAGAGGGAGCCAAUGUUUCCAGAAGAAACUGUGCCACUCCAAAGGGAAAUUAGAGAAGGAGAAAGUGACCCUUGAAUAAAGAUGAGUUUAUUCAUUUAAAGACCCCUCUCCGGGAUUCUUGGCAGGAAGAGUUCACUUUCCUGCUGCAUCAGGGAUUGGAAGGCUACUCCUCUGUCCAUGGUCCUAUUCCUCUGCUUCAAACAACUUUAGAAGAAUCCAGAGGGAGGUUCAAAUCUGCAAUGUAGAAAAGCAUUGAAGUGUUCUAGAUACAGCUGAGAAGCUGAGAGAAGACGGAAUUUGUGGGUAUAGCAGAUCUUUGGAAUCUUUGAAAAGAAGUUCUGUCUGCAGUAGAUCCCACCAGCAGAAGGGGAUCCUGCUGGACAGCCAUUCUUUUCAAUAUUGAUGAACAGCAUCUAUCCGUGGAGUGAGCUCCACUUGAGCUGAAGCCUGCUUGAGCUGCAAGCAAAGAAUGGAAAUUUCCAAUUGCAGCAUCGAGGGCUGCUGUUCUGCUGACUGUCUUGCUCAGCCAGGGUCAUCUGCUUCUCUAAGACAUCAAGGAAUGCCAAGGUAAAUAGGAAGAAGCAAAGAAGCAAUUUGCUUUGUAGCCUCCAUUGACGGCCUAGAGCACCUAACGAAGAUGUGCCAGGGCUACUCGCUUCCACAAGCUUCCAGUUCUCAGAUGGAGGUUCAACAGAGGCUAAAAGUGAUUCAACACUUUAAGAAUCGGCUCUUGCAAUCAACCAUGUGUCACCAGAGCACGGUGCAAGAUUGUACCUGUAAGUACAUGAUAGUGUAUGAAAAGAUAUUGUCUUCUCCUUUCUCCUCUACAGGCUUUCCUCCCAGUCAAGAAUUAACCAUGAGGGGUGCCUGGCUGGCUCAGCUGGUUAAACAUCCGACUUCGGCUCAGGUCACGAUCUCACGGUUCAUGAGUUCAAGCCCUGUGUCGGGCUCUGUGCCCACAGCUCAGAGCCUGGACCCUGUUUCGGAUUCUGUGUCUCCCUCUCUCUCUGUCCCUUUUCCAGCUCACGCUCUGUCUCUCUCUGUCUCAAAAAGAAAUAAACAUUAAAAAAAAAAAAAAAAAAGAAUUAACCAUGGGACUCGUCCAGGAAAGCAUGGAUUGCUUGGCUGGAAGACUGGAGAAACAUUCAGUUGACCAGCAUUCUUGGGCACCUGCAAGUGCAUGUUCCAGUGCUUGGGUAGAAUUUAUCACACCUUAUUUACCAAUUAAAAUAGCCCAAAUGUUAUUGUAGAUAUAGCCCAUUUCAUACAGUUUAAUGCUUAAUAAUUCUCUGCUUGCUUCAUUAUGUAAAACUUGCAUUUUCCCAUCUAGGUCAUAAACUCUCUGAGGGCAGGGAUCAUGGCUUUGCUUCCUUUGAAUCCACCACAGGACCAAACACAGAAUAGAGGGGCACAAUACUGGGUGGUCAAAAGGGCAUGACCACGAGACGGUGUCUGAGACCUGGGUGGCUUCCAUGCCCCCUGCCCCAUCUAGCUGGAUUAAGACCUUCAGGAAGCAUUGAAAUCUCUGAGAUGUAAUUUCUUCAAGUUAAGAUUGCCCCACUCACCUCAUUGGUUCAUUGGGAGGAUCGGAUAAGAUAAUGUACGUGAGAGUAUUUUGUAAACCAAGAUUUGCAAGCUACUGAAAUGUGAGAAAUCAUCAGAAGAGGCACCUAGUAAAUAUCUGAUUGAUUUUUAAUGAUAAAGUAGUGUCUUCCUCUCUUCCCUACAUUCAAUUCUUAAGGGGUUUCGCUUCUCAGGAUUUGAAUUUAUCUGAGUGGAAAGCUGCUCUACAUCUUUCUGAUUCUGUGUAGAAUGUCUCCUAGUGCAUUUCACCCUAUAGUUAUCUUAAAGUUUGAUUGACAUUUAAUCAAAUCAACCAAAAAAGUCACAAAGCAUCCCAUGGUCACAUCUAUCACAUAGGCCUCCUGGAGACCAAUAGCAUUUGUAACUCACUAGAGUUCCAGAGCCUUUUUUUGUGUCACAUCUGCCUACUCCGCUGUACCCCGGGCAAGGAUUAUGUAUAUUUCUAUAUUCUAGCACAUACUUGAUACAUGGGAGUGUCAGAUCAUUGCCCUAAGCCCAGGCCAGCUGAGAAGAAAAUGAAAAAGUGGCACCUUAUAUGAGAAAUUUUACAAAGAGAUGACACUAUGAAACAGACUUUUAGAAUGGUUCAUUUAUUUAGAGUCUUCAUUUUCUACUUGUUCUUAGCAAAGAAGACAAUCUCUCCAUAGUAACAGAAUUCUAUAUGAUACAUUAGAAAACUCCCCUUUCAAACAUGGUUAUUCCUCAAAUGCUUCUGUAAGAUAUCAAAUUUAGGCACAAGGUUUCUUCUCACUUAACUGGAAAAAAAAAUGGAGACACCAAGACAUAAAAUAAGUUGUAUAUUCUAGAGAUUAUUAUAUGGAUUUUUGGUUCUCUAAUACUCUUAGUCUUAGUAACAUGAAAGAAAAGGUAACUAGAGAACCAAUGACUUUUUUUGGUCAUCUUUACUGAAAACGUUCCAUUUCAGUAUUUUUGGUUAAUUCAUGAAAGCUGCUUGAGCCUUUUUUUCUUCCCCAAGUUCAAUCACAGAGUAUCAACUGCAAGACUUAUAUACAGAGUUGAGGCAUUUUGGUGAUAUGUGGAAUCCAAACCAAUUGUGAACUCCAUUAAUGAACAUAUUUAGGAUGCCCUUUUUUAUGGGGCAUAAAAAGAGAAAACUAUUUUUCAGAAUUAACUGAUCCAGAACAGUUUUCGGAAACCUCAUUUCUAUUCUUUUAAAAUUGAUUACAGAAAGUUUCAAACAUACCCAAAGGUAGAAGAAUAGUAAAAAUGAACCCAUUCUUACGAACCUGUCAUCCAGCUUCAACAUAAGGGCAAUCUUGGCAAGCCUCAUUUUUUAUUUUUUAAUUUUAAAAAAUGUUUAUUUAGAGAGAGAGAGAGAGAGAGAGGCAGAGAGAGAAUCCCAAGCAGGCUCCACACUGUCUUCAUUGAGCCCGACAUGGGGCUCAAACCCACAAACCAUGAUCUCAUGACCUGAGCUGAAAUCAAGAGUCAGACACUUAACCGACCGAACCACCCAGGAGUCUCAAAAAUGUUUAUUUAUUUUUGAGAGAGAGAGAGCAAGCAGAGGAGGGGCAGAGAGAGAGGGAGAGAGAGAAUCCCAAGCAAGUUCUGCACUAUCAGCAGUGAGCCUGAUUCAGGGCUUGAAUUCACGAACUAUGAGAUCAUGAUGAGCCAGAGUCUGAUGCUUAACCGACCGAGACACCCAGAUGUCCCUAUCAGACACUUUUCUUUUUCAUUCUUGUAUCUCUGUCACCUCUCCUGAGGCUGACAUGGGACCAGCUCCUUGAAUAGUCCAUACUAGAAGAAAAGUACUAAACAGGAGGAAGAGAUGGUAAAUUUUAAAUUUAUUAAUUUAUUAAUUAUUCUCUACCUGUGACACAGUGCCUUGUUUCUUCUGACUAACAUGCUGCAGGGAAAUAGUGAUAAUGGGAAAGGAGGCAUUUCCAACAACAGAACUGACUCUUUGUCCCUUUGCCCCAAUGAUAUAUAGUGAGUAACAGAACGAGAGGUCACUCCAUUCUUGAUCCUAAAGAGAAAGGCCCAGGACAAAUCUUGUAACCCAAAUGUUUCAAGGCAGAGAGUUUCUUAUAUGUAACAUAUUACUCAUUUAUUAUAUAUAUAUAUAUAUCAAAUUACAUAUAUAUGUAAAAUUUUUUGCAGAGUACAAAUAUCAUGCUGUAUUAUUGUUCUAAGAUUUAUCAAAAUGCAUACCAAUUUGUAGCCAAAUCAUACCCAUAGGGAAUCUAAAAUAAAAAUAAUUUUUUAAAGUAAAUUAGAGGGGCACUGAGGUGGCAUAGUUGGCUGAACAUCCAACUCUUGAUUUGGGCUCAGGUCAUGAUCCCACGGUCAUGAGAUUGAGCCCUACAUUGGGCUCCAUGCUUAGCUUGGAGCCUGUUUAAGACUCUCUCUCUUUCCCUCUGCCCCCUCUCCCACUUGUGUGCUCUCUCAAAAAAAUAAAUAAAUAAAUAAAAAUAAAAAUAAAUGAAAGAAGUAAUGGGGCACCUGAGUGGCUCAGUUGGUUAAGUGUCCAACUUUGGCCCAGGUCAUGAUCUCACAGUUGGUUGGGUUUAAGCCUGAAUCAGGCUCUCUGCUGACAGUUCAGAGCCUGGAGCCUGCUUUAGAUUCUGUGUCUCCUUUUCUCUCUCCCCUUACCCCGCUCACACUCUGUCUCUCUCUCUCUCUCUCUCUCAAAAAUAAAAUAAACAUUAAAAAUUAAAAAAAUAAAUACAUAAAAGAAGUAAAUUAGAAUGAUGAAUUUGGGUAGAAGUCAUAUGGCUUUAACAAAACUUCGAUUUCUUCCUUUACGUUGUUCCCCCUGGUAGAACAGCAAAAUUCCUACCUAGAUGGUAAGACUUGUACCAUUUGCUUAAUUUUAAGAUCCUUGGUUGCUCUUGGGAACAAGUAUACUGCUGUGGCAUGAAGUGGAAGGUAUAAUUUGAAGCCAGACUAGAGAAAAAAGGCUCCUUUUAGAAAUAAUAUAUUCAUGAAAAUGUAAAAGUAUCAAAAAAGGCUUAAUAAUUUCACCAAGUAAUGUAAAGCUAAAUGUCAUAUGCAAGUUCCUAAAGAACUAUAACAAACUUUGUAGAACUCAAGCCUUCCAUGGAAGAAGGUUUUAAAACUUCUUUUAAAGCCAACACAAUGGGAAGAGCCAACCACAGAAUGUGUUGCACUGUUACUCCCUGUGGUUAUUUGCUUUAUCAGCCACAAUAACUGAUUUUGCAUUCAGUAAAGACUUAAGAAAGGUUGGGGCGCCUGGGUGGCUCAGUCGGUUAAGCGUCUGACUUCGGCUCAGGUCAUGAUCUCACGGUCCGUGAGUUCAAGCCCCGCGUCGGGCUCUGUGCUGACAGCUCAGAACCCGGAGCCCAUUUCAGAUUCUGUGUCUCCCUCUCUCUCUGACCCUCCCCUGUUCAUGCUCUGUCUCUCAAAUAAAUAAACGUUAAAAAAAACUAAAAAAAAAAAGACUUAAGAAAGGUAAAGAUGAACACUUAUCAUAUUUCUUUCCCAUGUGGACUUUCAAAAUCCAGGACAGUAGCUUUCCUUUUUCCUCUAGUAAUUAGACUCUGAAAGGAAUCUGGAAAGUGUUACACACAGGAGUGGUAUUCAGUCAAAACAGGGCUCAUUUCCAGCUCUGCUUGAGUUUGUUGCUGUCUACGUGUGAUGUUGAAGGGAGUGAGGAAAAUAAACUUCCCCAAUUAUUACAUGGUGCCAAUGACUUGACUUGGCUUUGAAGAAAUAAAUUGCAUUGCUUCCUCAGUAUAUUCACAAUCAGUCUCUGAGAUGCAGGGAUAUGGUUAUUCCACCAGAAAAAAAACACAUUUAAUUAUUUAAGACAACUAAGUACUUCAUGUGAAAACUACCAACUUAACAGAAGGGAGGGAAAUAACUCUUAAAAUAGGCUCAAGGGGUAGGGGUGCCUGGGUGGCUCCAUUGGUUAAGCAUCUGAUCAAACCCUGUGUCGGGCUCUAUGCCGGGUAUGGAGCCUGCUUAAGAUCUUCUCCCUCUGCCCCUUCUCCCCCUCCCUUCUUCACUCUCUCUCUCUCUCCCUAAGAAAAGAAGGAAGGAAGGAAGGAAGGAAGGAAGGAAGGAAGGAAGGAAGGAAGGAAGGAAUAGGAUCAAGCCAGUAAACCUAAGGAAAGGGGAAAAAAACAAAGAAGGAUAAGUAAUAAGAAAAAGAAUGAAAAUAAAUAUAUCCAUUACCAUAAAUAUUUGAAUGAAUCAGAUUUCCCUUUUAAAGACAAACUUUCAGAUUAGGUUGAAAAACAAAAUUAAACUAUGAAACUGACUUCAAAUAAAAUGGCAAAGAAAAUUUGAAAAUAAAUGAUUAGGUAGAUGUAUGUCAGGCAAAUCCAAAACCAGGAGUGACAAUAUUAAUAUCAAACUCAAGGCCAGAAACAUUAAAUAGGAACAAGAGGAUGGAAUGUGCCACACAGUGGCAGAGAUUGCUAGAUGCCUAUGCCAUCCACACCCAUCCCUCUUUGCCCUUGCUAACAAAACCUCAAUUUAAUUUGGUACAGCAAUGUGUACAGAUGAAAAAUUAAUUUUCCUAUCCUAUUUUACAAUUAGGAGUGAAUAAUAAGUUGUAAGCAGACAUAAGUUGAUAGGUGGGCCUGCUGACGUCUGAGUUGGAAGCUACUCUUUUCUGACUUCUUUUUCCUCCUUCAUGACUGGAAUAUACAUGUGAUGGCUGGAGCUGCAGAAGCCAUCUUGCAACCAUGACUUGGAAAAUGGAUACCACAUACUAAAAGGUAACAGAGCAGGAAGACAAAAGGAGCUUGCAUUCCCGAUGACCAUGGAGCCACUAUACCAGCCCUGAACUUUUUACCACCAGGUAUAUUUUAUGUUUGAGAAAAACACAUUUCUAUUCAGCCACUAUUAUUCUGGUAUCAUUUUAUACGUAGUCAGCUCAAUUUUCUGUGGCACAGAUAUAAACUUGAACAAAAUAUAACAGUUGUCAGUUGUUAUGCACUAAAAAGCAUAGCAUAAAAAUUGUUUUAAAUCAAAACCACCAGAGAGUGUUAAAAGAGAAAAGAAUCCACUAGAAAGACAUGCAGAAUUUGAGGAAAUGGCAAGCUUAGUAGUAGGUUUUCAUUCAAUUCUUUCAGAGUUUGAUAGAAUAUGAAAUCAAACACAAGCAAGAAUAUAGAAGAAUGUAAUAUAUAAUAUAAUAUAACUAUUUAAUAUAAUAAUAAUAUAACUAUAGGCUUAUAAUAAUAUAACUAUAAGCUUAUUAUAUAUGCAUGAAUAUAUGAAUUUAUGUAUGAUUCAUAUACAGUAUAAAAAAAUAAAUUUAUACCUUACAAAAAAGAGAAUAUGCAAUCUUUUUAUAGGUGUGUGGAAUAUUUACAAAAUCAAUCAUGUACUUGGCCGUAGAGGAUGAAAGCUAUUGUGGUAUCAGGUACAGAGGAAAGAUGCUGGAACUAGAUGGUCUGUUCUACAACUUGCUGGCAGUGACCUUGGGCAAGUUACUUAACCUUCUAGGGUUUUGUUUCUUUAUCUACAGACUUGGGAUCAUAACAGCUAGAAAUUUUAUCUUUUACAAUUAUUUUUUUUUUAAUUUUUUUGUUAACGUUUAUUUAUUUUUGAGACAGAGAGAGACAGAGCAUGAACGGGGGAGGGUCAGAGAGAGAGAGGGAGACACAGAAUCUGAAACAGGCUCCAGGCUCUGAGCAGUCAGCACAGAGCCCUAUCUUUUACAAUUAUUAUGAUUUCUCCCAGCCUAGCAUUUUCCAGCUUGAUGUCCAUCCAUCUCCCUACACAAAGCUGCUGGCACUGCAUGUAACUGACUCUAGGUGGAGGUGCCAGGCCAUCAGAUGGUCAUCACUAUGUCACAGUGGGAGGGUCAACAGCAGGAAUAGAAGGUUAACAUCCCUCAGAUUGGUGAACACGAUGCUGUCUACAACGGAAUUCAAGAGCACCAAAAGAAUGUUAAAUGGAUGAAUUGUUACUUGCAGGAAAAGAAACAGGAACCAUGUUUCCAAUUAUUCCUCAUUUCAGACAACAACUAGCUGUUUCCGUUGGCUGGCACGGUAGCUGAAUGGGGAAUGCUAUUGAGUAAACUCUGCCCAAGAAGGAUGAAUGCGGGCCAGUGAAUUUUCUGACACAGUCCCAGCUUUAUUUUUGCUUAUUGCUGGCAAGCUAAUACGAGGGACAUUAAAAAACAAGUGACAAAAACUUUAUAAAUAAGGUUUAAAGGACAAGAAGUCUCCAUAGUCCCCCCAAAUGUAAACAUUUUGUGCCGAUAAGGAUUAUUUGUGACAUAAGACAGAAUCUCUAAAUUUGACUGUUGGUUAGAAAAAAGAAAAAAAAAAACACUUAAUAUAAAUCUUUUAAAAACCCAUAAAAUAAAACAUUUCUUAAUAUCACAAAAGCAGAACACUGAAGUACUUAAAAAUAU